UCCCUGAUCUCUCAGACGGUAAAGAAUCUGCCUGCAAUGCAGGAGACCCAGGUUUGAUUCCUGGUUUGGGAA
This 72-nucleotide transfer RNA is filed under the name Bos taurus (domestic cattle). It matches the Rfam family "tRNA". Rfam says of the family: Transfer RNA (tRNA) molecules are approximately 80 nucleotides in length. Their secondary structure includes four short double-helical elements and three loops (D, anti-codon, and T loops). The record is from Rfam by way of RNAcentral. RNAcentral also lists the same sequence under 2 other names. Lineage: Eukaryota; Metazoa; Chordata; Mammalia; Artiodactyla; Bovidae.